Molecule: non-coding RNA, 30 nt
Filed under: Rattus norvegicus (Norway rat)
Lineage: Eukaryota; Metazoa; Chordata; Mammalia; Rodentia; Muridae
Source: RNAcentral
UGGGUGUUUAAGGACAUGCGGUCGGCAGGU